GACGAACGCUGGCGGCGUGCUUAACACAUGCAAGUCGAACGGAAAGGCCCUGCUUUUGUGGGGUGCUCGAGUGGCGAACGGGUGCGUAACACGUGAGUAUCCUGCCCUUGACUUUGGGAUAACUUCAGGAAACUGGGGCUAAUACCGGAUAGGAGCUCCUGCUGCAUGGUGGGGGUUGGAAAGUUUGGGCGGUUGGGGAUGGACUCGCGGCUUAUCUGCUUGUUGGUGGGGUAUUGGCUUACCAAGGCUUUGACGGGUAGCCGGCCUGAGAGGGUGACCGGCCACAUUGGGACUGAGAUACGGCCCAGACUCCUACGGGAGGCAGCAGUGUGGAAUAUUGCACAAUGGGCGGAAGCCGGAUGCAGCAACGCCGCGUGCGGGAUGACGGCCUUCGUGUUGGAAACCGCUUUCGCCUGUGACGAAGCGUGUGUGACGGUAAUGGGUAAAGAAGCACCGGCUAACUACGUG
Molecule: ribosomal RNA, 468 nt
Filed under: uncultured bacterium
Lineage: Bacteria
Description: partial 16S ribosomal RNA
Rfam family: Bacterial small subunit ribosomal RNA
Source: RNAcentral